RNAcentral lists this long non-coding RNA (285 nucleotides) under Trifolium pratense (red clover). RNAcentral describes it as "long non-coding RNA (TPRA_LNC003775)". The record is from RNAcentral. Lineage: Eukaryota; Viridiplantae; Streptophyta; Magnoliopsida; Fabales; Fabaceae.
GUGUGUAAAAAAAAUUAAUUUUUUUUAGUUAGCAGAACACUUAUGGAAAAGUAAAAGUGUUCCGGUUUGUUAAAAGUGUUCCAGUGGUAAGAUUUUUCCAAACUCUGCAUUUCAUUUGUUUGCUGCUAUAUGUUUCACCUGCUUUCUCUUAUUCUUUUUCAUAUGUUUAGCUUUUGUUCUAGCAAGGUCUUUCAUCUUUGGAAUGAUUCUUAUCCUCUUCUUCUCUUUAAAUUUUCCAACUCAUGGCUUUGCUCCACUGAUUGUUCACCGAUUAUGGUAUUUUUU